RNAcentral lists this ribosomal RNA (227 nucleotides) under uncultured bacterium. RNAcentral's name for it is "partial 16S ribosomal RNA". It matches the Rfam family "Bacterial small subunit ribosomal RNA", at positions 383 to 607 of the family's 1533-position model. The record is from RNAcentral.
CUGAACCAGCCAAGUAGCGUGAAGGAUGACUGCCCCAUGGGUUGUAAACUUCUUUUAUAUUAGAAUAAAGUGCAGUAUGUAUACUGUUUUGUAUGUAUAAUAUGAAUAAGGAUCGGCUAACUCCGUGCCAGCAGCCGCGGUAAUACGGAGGAUCCGAGCGUUAUCCGGAUUUAUUGGGUUUAAAGGGAGCGUAGGCGGACGCUUAAGUCAGUUGUGAAAGUUUGCGG